Dreissena polymorpha is the source of this 519-nucleotide long non-coding RNA. RefSeq lists it as uncharacterized. Lineage: Eukaryota; Metazoa; Mollusca; Bivalvia; Myida; Dreissenidae. The record is from RefSeq and is a predicted model, not a curated record. The transcript has 3 exons.
ACACAAUUCUCUGUACGGGCACUUGCCAUGACUUUAUUUUUGAAUAUUUCUGUGUUCAUGUGGUAGGGAAAACAUUGUUGUAUACUACAAAUUCCCUGUUUUGCUUUUAGGUUGGAGACUACAUAAGACUUUGACAGUUGGCGGGAAACCAUCAUCAACUGGAGAGAUGCCGGAAGAGGAAUGUCUGCGACUAAGUCAAGGGCCACUGGAUAAGGGUUGUUGAUGGCAAAACAGGUUGGAGACUACAUAAGACUUUGACAGUUGGCGGGAAACCAUCAUCAACUGGAGAGAUGCCGGUAAAAAGAUGGCCAUAAAACAGUGACCGCUGAUUCGCAUUGAGUUCUUUCUUACAUAUUGGAUGACCUAUGUUUUUUAUUGUUUAAAUCAUUGCGGCUUGGAAUGCUCUUUAAGAAAAGGUAUGGUUAUGGGGGUGUCUACGCGCAAAAGUUUGACUUUAUUUUUUGUUAAAGUUAUUGCUUUUACAUUGAAUUUGUGCAGGAAAUCUUUUGGUAUGUUGUG